AGGGUUUGAUUAUGGCUCAGGAUAAACGCUGGCGGCGCACAUAAGACAUGCAAGUCGAACGGACUUAAUCGAAAUAUUUAUAUUUUGAAGCGGUUAGUGGCGGACUGGUGAGUAACGCGUAAGGAACCUGCCUAUUAGAGGGGAAUAACAGUGAGAAAUCAUUGCUAAUACCGCAUAUGCCAUAGAUAUCACAUGAUAACAGUGGGAAAGGAGCAAUCCGCUAAUAGAUGGCCUUGCGUCUGAUUAGAUAGUUGGUGGGGUAACGGCCUACCAAGUCGACGAUCAGUAGCCGGACUGAGAGGUUGAACGGCCACAUUGGGACUGAGAUACGGCCCAG
Molecule: ribosomal RNA, 337 nt
Filed under: uncultured bacterium
Lineage: Bacteria
Description: bacterial SSU rRNA
Rfam family: Bacterial small subunit ribosomal RNA
Source: RNAcentral